Molecule: long non-coding RNA, 5133 nt
Filed under: Vitis vinifera (wine grape)
Lineage: Eukaryota; Viridiplantae; Streptophyta; Magnoliopsida; Vitales; Vitaceae
Description: long non-coding RNA (VVIN_LNC000936)
Source: RNAcentral
ACACUUCCAUUUGUGGGAACCGAGGAUGGAACCAAAUCUGAAGUUGUGGUUUCUUGCCAUAUUGAUACGUCAGCUUGGAACCCGAAGCAUGCAGCCUUUAAAGUUCUGAAAGUUAAACCAGGAACUGUCCCUGUUUGCGAUUUCCUUCCCCAUGAUGAUAUCAUCUGGAUUCCUAAAUAACUAGAAAUUUGAAGAAAGCAUUAAGCCCAGUUGCAAGCAUAUAUAUAUAUAUAUAUAUGGUUCCAUGUUGUACUGUCUAGUGUGCAUAUGUGGUGUGGUUUGAGCAAGUGCAUGUUUGAGGAAUGCUUGUAUGUUUAUGUGUACUACUCACUAUUUGCAAUAUAAUUCAGUCUGCAUGCUUGGUUAAGCAUGUAAAAUUAUCUCAAUUAUUUCUAUGAAAUCCCAUUUUAGUUACUAUUACUUGCUAGACACAUUGUUGUUUCAUUACUUAUUGAGAAUUAAUUUUUUAGAUUAAAUUGGUAACUAAUACUUGAUGUUUUGAGUUUGAGUAUCUAGAUCCCUUGUUUCAUCUAUUUUCUUGUCCAUAACAUCAAGGUUAGGUUUGGUUUGCUGUGAAUUUGAGGGAAAUAAAAUAGAGAGAAAAUUAGAAAACACAAAAAGUGAAGGAAUUUUUUUUUUCUUAACAUUCUUCUUAUUUUCUCAACACUUUCUGGUAAUCAAAUAUAACCAAAAGUAAUGAAAAUGAAGACAAAAAUUAAUGCCCUAUAAUUAGUGUUAGGAUGAAUGACUUCGUCGUCUUAUUUGAAAAUCAAUUAGCUACAAUUGAUGUCAAACUAAUCAUAUUCAUGUGGUUUGACAUCACGCUUAUCCUAAAAUUUAAUCAUUUGGAAGUACACAAUGAGGCUUAACCAAUUGCACACAACAAACCUAUAUUGAGCCUUGAUUUAUCCUAAGGCUUAUAGUAGGCCUAAUCAUCUUCAACCAUCACAUGCCCAUCACACGGUCAUUGUUCAUCCAUCAUUUUCCUAGGAGAGCAACAUUGUUGCAUACCCUAACUUAUAAGUUUCCUAUGACUUGAACCUACAUGACAUGAGUUUGAUACCAUUUGUUUUUUCAAGCUUUAUUGCAUCUUGGCAGUCUCACCAAGUGAUAAGUGUGGUUCUCAUGUAAAGAUUUCAUCUUUUCUUGCAUGACAUUUGACCACUCUUUCUUCUUUUCAUAUGACAAUACUUUUGGUAAGAUUUGGUUGUCUCUUCUAGGUGAUCAUCACAUACUCAAUAAGAGAAUAUCUUUUAGAAUCUAUCUAGCUGUUGGGUCUUCUUAAGUGAGGUUCUCAUUAACUUGCUCAUCUUCAUCUAUGAGCUCACCAUCAACCAGAGGGGCACCAUGCAUGCAUUAUGAUCAUCCUAUGCAUCUCUCUUAUCAUCAAUACACAGUAUUGAUUGAUGAACCAUACUUGGAUCAACUACUUCAUCAAUAAUAGAUUUUGGUUUUUCUAACUUUUCAAAAUUUGCAAUAAUUUGAUCCUCAAGAAAUACAAAAUUUUAGCUUUUGUUGAUUUUUUUGUUGACUAGAUCUUAGAAUCUAUACCCAAAUUCUUCAUGGUUUUACUCGACAAAAAAUACAUUGCUUUGACUUACAGUCAAAUUUAGAUUUCUCAUCCGACAUGCACAAAUACCUUGCAACAAAAAUAAAAUAAAAUAAAAUAAUCAUAAGAAACAUCUUUCCUUAUCCUAAGUCUUUCAAGCAUAUCGCCAUUCAAAGGAAUUGAGGGAGAAAGAUUUAUUAAGAGAUGUCACUUAUUGUACUUACCAUUGUUACCUGAAUCUUCCAUUUAAUUAGCUCAAUUUUUAAUUAUUUUACUUUUAAAAAUUUAAAUUAUAUUAAAAUAAAUAUUAUUUAUAAAACAAAGGAAUAUUAUAAAUAUUUAUAAUUUAUUUUUAUGAAAAAAAAUAUUUGUAUAUAUGUUAAAAAAGAAAAAAACAAUAAAUUAAAACAAUGCAUUAUACAUACAUAGGAUAAAAUCAUAUUCGACGAUCAACACAUUGUAGUAAUUCCUCCUUCCUCCUACAAAAAAGAUUUCCAGAUGGGUUGUCUGGACAUACCCUCCGAUGAUUAAGUUAGUAUUUUGGAAGCUGUUGGAAAAUAGGGUUUUCCUUUGGGAGUGUUGCUCUGUGAUUUUCGUCAAGGAUGUUUAUCCCUUUUGUUCUUAUCUCUUAUGGCUUAUGGCUUACCUCUCUGAGAGCCUCCUUAGAGUUUAUAUACAAGUCAGAAAGUAAGGCCUCGCUGUGCUAGCGAGUCCCAUCGUCAUGAUUGCGACUCAUAAGGUGGCGAAGCAAUCAUGACGUUUCUGGUGCGAGAUGGUGGCUGUCAGGAGGAUAUUUAGGCGGUGGAUGUCGCCUCAAUUUAUGACUUUAAAUAUCGGGGAUGUGUCAGGAGACCUGAGAAGACUUGGGAAUGUCUUAUCGAGCACAUCUUGCAUUAAAGAUGAGUGACAACUCAGGAAACUUGGUCGUCAGUAUUGUCAGUGUUUUUUGAUUGUGAGCGGAAAUGGAUCCGACGAAUCGCGAGUAUCUGACGAGCUAAGUUAUCCGAGGAAUCUGAAUCGCUGGCCACGGAUGUUCUCCGGAUAAGCGUUACCGAAGGAUCCGGACAUGUCUGCCUGGGGAAGUUGAAUCGUCCUCCUCUCCCAUCCGGCGGCAAGCGCCGGAUGUGAAAUAUCCGAAGAAGGUGGAACGUUGGCCGGAUAGAAUUACGACUGUGAGAUAUUUGAAAAAAGUGGGAUGUCGGUCGGGCAAAAUUGCGGCUGUGAGACAUCCGGAUAAGGUAGAACGUUGGCCGUGCAGAAUUUCGGAUGUGAGACAUCCGGGUGGAAUGAGUGAGAAUUUCCGUUCGGGUGGAAUGAGCGAUGCCACGCGUUGCAAGGGGGGACGUCUGCGCGGCCAAAGAAGAAGGAGCCACGUGGCAAUUUUUGGGGAGGAUCCCACAAUGGGUUAAAAACAUUUUCCCUAACCCAUUCCACAUCCGUUUAACCCGCCCUAGGAGUAGGGCGGUGUUGGCAGACUUGACCCAAAGAAUCGCUCCAUUGCCAUUCGUACGUUCUUCAUGCAAGAAAACCCCGCAACAACCUUCUCCUUUCUUUCCCUUUCUCUGGCACCACACGUGUUUCCUUUUGUUUUAUUCUCUUAUCUCUUUUCUAUUUAUUGACCGGGUUCCAGUGCCUCCAAGUGGUGGGAUGGGACCCCACCCAACACUUAGCAAUCCAAUCUCCACUCUCUUUUCACACUGGCAUGUUUAUAACGACAAAUUCAUCGAUACCUGGUUACUUUCGGCUCAUGAAAUGGAAAUUAAUAUUAGCAAUUUUAGUCUGUUUUCCUUGAAAGGAGUCUGUGGAAGCCAACAUAUAAUAAAGGGAGACACACAAGACUGUGAGACCUGCCAUGAAAGCAGAAACUAAGGACGUCUGCGAAAUUAAUUUCAUGGGUCACCAAUUGAUUUCAGCCAUAGAAUCAUAUUUCGGCACACAGGAAAUGAAUAACCUUUCCCUAUAUUUCAUAUCUGCUCAUCAAAAAAUCGAUCUUAUCUCAUAUCUACUCAGCAAAAAUUGGACCAUUCUGAUUGUGGGAAUUGAAUGCGAAGGUUGGGCCAUAUGCAACUUGAUCAUGCAUGGAUGCUUUUACUAUCUUGUUUAUAUAUGCCGACUUAGCCAUUAUAUAUAUCCAUCAAUUGAUUUCACUUCUUCAUACCAACGUACAGCUUAGCCUGCGGUUCACAGCUUCUAUGGAGCUUCAUCUUCUUCCCAUUCUAACCUGCCUCUCUGUGAGACUUCACUUUUACCUUUAUUUUGUUUUUAUUUUUCUAACAUAACCCAUUACAUGACAAGGGCAAUGCUAGUUAUAUUAUUUUGCAGAAAAUGGUACUUACAUAAAAUUCUCUUUAAAAAUGAACAUUUAUAAUCCAAAUUUUAAGUCUUACUGUUCUAAAUUGUCUUUGUUACGUGGGUUUUCUGAUUUCUCCUAAUCUCCUUACUAUAUAUUAUGCAUGAACUUGUGGCAGCUGCUGGUGGUUGUAAACAAUGCUUCUCUACCUUCUGAGGUCUACUGGAAGUUGGCUUUGCCGUAUACUCGGAUGCCCAAAGUCGUGCGAGAUCUCUUGCAGCUGAGUUAGUUUCAAUGAAUCCCUAACUCAUAUGCAAAUUUUUUUUUUUGUUCUUUUUUGAAAUUUGGUGAAGAAAAUAAUUUACUGUUGAAUAUUAGUUAGGCAACUGAUUCUUAAUUAGCCACCUUGGCAUAAUUGUAAUAGCUAGUAAGGGGAUAUUAUUCAUAUACGUUUCAAUGAGUUUGCAGACUCAAUGGAAGGUGGAAGUUCAAUCAAUGUGAGCAAGGUUAUACUAAAUGCCAUCCCAGCGGAUGUCUUUAUCAAAUACCAAAACCCAUCGGCUGCUGACACCCCCACUGAAGACCAACCUCCAGAAAAGGUUACUUCUUGGAAAAAGACCUGCAUUCCACCACAAAAAUGAAGAUGCACUUUAGAAAAACUACAAAUGAAGCCACUUUGUUACCCCGUCAAGUGGCCGACUCCAUACCCUUUUCAUCUGACAAGUUCCCAGAAAUUCUAAAUCGGUUUUCACUUAAACAAGAGUCCAAGGAAGCUGAAAUAAUGAAGAAAACGAUACAAGAUUGCGAACAACCAGCCCUGGAAGGAGAUUCCAGGUUUUGUGCCACAUCCUUGGAAUCCUUAAUUGAUUUAAGCAUUUCAAAGCUUGGAAAAAACAUCAAACUAAUCUCAAAUGGAGUUGAAAUGGGAAGCCAAGAAUACGAACUCGGAGUGGGAGUGAAGGUGGUUGCAGACAAAUCAGUGGUGUGCCAUAAGCAGAAGUAUCCAUACGCUGUGUUUUACUGCCAUGCAAUCCAUAAGACGAGGGUUUACACACUUCCAUUUGUGGGAACCGAGGAUGGAACCAAAGCUGAGGUUGUGGCUUCUUGCCAUAUAGAUAUGUCGGCUUGGAACCCGAAGCAUGCGACCUUUCAAGUGCUGAAAGUUAAACCAGGAACUGUCCCUGUUUGCCACUUCCUUCCUCGUGAUGAUCUCAUCUAGGUUCCUAAAUAACUAGAAAUCUGAAAGAAAAAAAAAAGCCUCAAGCCCAAUCGCAUAAGUCGAUCUUGUAUUUUC